UGCAACUGUUCUGUUGUUGCCACCCUCUC
RNAcentral lists this non-coding RNA (29 nucleotides) under Homo sapiens (human). Lineage: Eukaryota; Metazoa; Chordata; Mammalia; Primates; Hominidae. The record is from RNAcentral.